Molecule: long non-coding RNA, 317 nt
Organism: Amphimedon queenslandica
Lineage: Eukaryota; Metazoa; Porifera; Demospongiae; Haplosclerida; Niphatidae
Exons: 5
Source: RefSeq, a predicted model, not a curated record
UUAAUUGGUGAAUUGUUGUAAUUAUUGUCGUUAAUAGACUAAUAGUGCUGAAAAUCAAAGGGAUGAUUGUAGAAAAUCAUGAGGUUUGAAUCGAAUGAAUGUAUGUUGAGCACAAAGGAAAGGUAUUACAAUAAUAAUGUAAUGAAGAAUAAGAAAUCAAUAAAGAAGCAGAAAGUAUACAUAGUUUAUCAGUCACCUCUACAUAAAGUCAUAACUCAUGAGACAAAGGCUAAUCGAUGAAGCAAUUCAAGACAGAAAACAAUAGAUAACUUAUUUUAUUUUUUGUGAUUUUUAAUAUUAAAUUUAAAAUUAUUAUA